This is an unclassified non-coding RNA of Mustela putorius furo (domestic ferret), 302 nucleotides long. It matches the Rfam family "Metazoan signal recognition particle RNA". Rfam says of the family: The signal recognition particle (SRP) is a universally conserved ribonucleoprotein. It is involved in the co-translational targeting of proteins to membranes. The record is from Ensembl. Lineage: Eukaryota; Metazoa; Chordata; Mammalia; Carnivora; Mustelidae.
GCUGGGCGCGGUGGCGCGCGCCUGUAGUCCCAGCUACUCGGGAGGCUGAGGCAGGAGGAUCGCUUGAGCCCAGGAGUUCUGGGCUGUAGUGCGCUAUGCCGAUCGGGUGUCCGCACUAAGUUCGGCAUCAAUAUGGUGACCUCCCGGGAGCGGGGGGCCACCAGGUUGCCUAAGGAGGGGUGAACCGGCCCAGGUCGGAAAUGGAGCAGGUCAAAACUCCCGUGCUGAUCAAUAUUAAGGAUGAGGGUAAUCCUCACUCCGGUCCAAUGGCGGAAAAAAAAAUAAAAAUGUGGAGGCCUACG